RNAcentral lists this ribosomal RNA (259 nucleotides) under uncultured bacterium. Its description in RNAcentral is "partial 16S ribosomal RNA". It matches the Rfam family "Bacterial small subunit ribosomal RNA", at positions 526 to 779 of the family's 1533-position model. The record is from RNAcentral.
CGUAGGGUGCAAGCGUUGUCCGGAAUUAUUGGGCGUAAAGAGCUCGUAGGCGGUCUGUCACGUCGGCUGUGAAAACCCGAGGCUCAACCUCGGGCCUGCAGUCGAUACGGGCGAAAACUAGAGUACUGCAGGGGAGGACUGGAAUUCCUGGUGUAGCGGUGAAAUAGCGCAGAUAUCAGGAGGAACACCGGUGGCGAGGCGGGUCUCUGGGCAGUAACUGACGCUGAGGAGCGAAAGCGUGGGGGAGGCGAACAGGAUU